This 395-nucleotide ribosomal RNA is filed under the name uncultured bacterium. Its description in RNAcentral is "bacterial SSU rRNA". It matches the Rfam family "Bacterial small subunit ribosomal RNA", at positions 28 to 414 of the family's 1533-position model. The record is from RNAcentral.
GACGAACGCUGGCGGCGUGCUUAACACAUGCAAGUCGAACGAGGUCCACCGCGUAGCAAUACAAGGGAAGACCUAGUGGCGAACGGGUGCGUAACACGUGAGGAACUUGUCCCGGUCUCUGGGAUAACAGUUGGAAACGACUGCUAAUACCGGAUGACGUCGGAAUCUCGCAUGGGAUACUGACGAAAGGGUUACUGGAUCGGGAGAGCCUCGCGGCCUAUCAGCUUGUGGUGAGGUAACGGCUCACCAAGGCAUCGACGGGUAGCUGGUCUGAGAGGAUGAUCAGCCACACUGGGACUGAGACACGGCCCAGACUCCUACGGGAGGCAGCAGUGGGGAAUCUUGCGCAAUGGGCGAAAAGCCUGACGCAGCAACGCCGCCGUGCGGGAAGAAGG